This 816-nucleotide ribosomal RNA is filed under the name uncultured bacterium. Its description in RNAcentral is "bacterial SSU rRNA". It matches the Rfam family "Bacterial small subunit ribosomal RNA", at positions 54 to 875 of the family's 1533-position model. The record is from RNAcentral.
CAUGCAAGUGGAGCGACGAACCAGGGCUUGCCCUGGGGCAAAGCCGCGAACGGGUGAGUAACACGUGGGUAACCUGCCCCGAUGACCGGGACAACCCGAGGAAACUCGGGCUAAUACCGGAUGAGCUCCUGUCACAUGAGUGACUUGAGGAAAGGAAGCUUCGGCCUCCGUAUCGGGAUGGGCCCGCGGCCCAUUAGCUUGUUGGUGAGGUAACGGCUCACCAAGGCUUCGAUGGGUAGCUGGUCUGAGAGGACGAUCAGCCACACUGGGACUGAGACACGGCCCAGACUCCUACGGGAGGCAGCAGUGGGGAAUAUUGCACAAUGGGCGCAAGCCUGAUGCAGCGACGCCGCGUGAGGGAUGACGGCCUUCGGGUUGUAAACCUCUUUCAGUAGGGAAGAAGCGAAAGUGACGGUACCUGCAGAAGAAGCGCCGGCUAACUACGUGCCAGCAGCCGCGGUAAUACGUAGGGCGCAAGCGUUAUCCGGAAUUAUUGGGCGUAAAGAGCUCGUAGGCGGUUUGUCGCGUCCGCCGUGAAAGUCCGGGGCUCAACUCCGGAUCUGCGGUGGGUACGGGCAGACUAGAGUGAUGUAGGGGAGACUGGAAUUCCUGGUGUAGCGGUGAAAUGCGCAGAUAUCAGGAGGAACACCGAUGGCGAAGGCAGGUCUCUGGGCAUUAACUGACGCUGAGGAGCGAAAGCAUGGGGAGCGAACAGGAUUAGAUACCCUGGUAGUCCACGCCGUAAACGAUGGGCACUAGGUGUGGGAGGUGUCGACUCCUCCCGUGCCGCAGCUAACGCAUUAAGUGCCCCGCCUG